This 250-nucleotide ribosomal RNA is filed under the name uncultured Parabacteroides sp. RNAcentral describes it as "partial 16S ribosomal RNA". It matches the Rfam family "Bacterial small subunit ribosomal RNA", at positions 90 to 339 of the family's 1533-position model. Lineage: Bacteria; Pseudomonadati; Bacteroidota; Bacteroidia; Bacteroidales; Tannerellaceae. The record is from RNAcentral.
GGCGACCGGCGCACGGGUGAGUAACGCGUAUGCAACUUACCUAUCAGAGGGGGAUAGCCCGGCGAAAGUCGGAUUAAUACUCCAUAAAACAGGGGUUCCGCAUGGGACUAUUUGUUAAAGAUUCAUCGCUGAUAGAUAGGCAUGCGUUCCAUUAGGCAGUUGGCGGGGUAACGGCCCACCAAACCGACGAUGGAUAGGGGUUCUGAGAGGAAGGUCCCCCACAUUGGUACUGAGACACGGACCAAACUCC